This 757-nucleotide ribosomal RNA is filed under the name Stenotrophomonas maltophilia. Its description in RNAcentral is "bacterial SSU rRNA". It matches the Rfam family "Bacterial small subunit ribosomal RNA", at positions 28 to 774 of the family's 1533-position model. The record is from RNAcentral. Lineage: Bacteria; Pseudomonadati; Pseudomonadota; Gammaproteobacteria; Lysobacterales; Lysobacteraceae.
AGUGAACGCUGGCGGUAGGCCUAACACAUGCAAGUCGAACGGCAGCACAGAGGAGCUUGCUCCUUGGGUGGCGAGUGGCGGACGGGUGAGGAAUACAUCGGAAUCUACUCUGUCGUGGGGGAUAACGUAGGGAAACUUACGCUAAUACCGCAUACGACCUACGGGUGAAAGCAGGGGAUCUUCGGACCUUGCGCGAUUGAAUGAGCCGAUGUCGGAUUAGCUAGUUGGCGGGGUAAAGGCCCACCAAGGCGACGAUCCGUAGCUGGUCUGAGAGGAUGAUCAGCCACACUGGAACUGAGACACGGUCCAGACUCCUACGGGAGGCAGCAGUGGGGAAUAUUGGACAAUGGGCGCAAGCCUGAUCCAGCCAUACCGCGUGGGUGAAGAAGGCCUUCGGGUUGUAAAGCCCUUUUGUUGGGAAAGAAAUCCAGCCGGCUAAUACCUGGUUGGGAUGACGGUACCCAAAGAAUAAGCACCGGCUAACUUCGUGCCAGCAGCCGCGGUAAUACGAAGGGUGCAAGCGUUACUCGGAAUUACUGGGCGUAAAGCGUGCGUAGGUGGUUAUUUAAGUCCGUUGUGAAAGCCCUGGGCUCAACCUGGGAACUGCAGUGGAUACUGGAUGACUAGAGUGUGGUAGAGGGUAGCGGAAUUCCUGGUGUAGCAGUGAAAUGCGUAGAGAUCAGGAGGAACAUCCAUGGCGAAGGCAGCUACCUGGACCAACACUGACACUGAGGCACGAAAGCGUGGGGAGCAAACA